AGGUUGUAUGAAAGGAGAGAAGGUUAGCACUCCCUUUGACACAGAUGGAGGAGACCCUUGGGCCUGACAACACGCAUACAGUUAGGCACUGCCAUCUACAUUGUGGCAUCUAAACAUCUUUUCUU
Molecule: non-coding RNA, 125 nt
Filed under: Aotus nancymaae (Ma's night monkey)
Lineage: Eukaryota; Metazoa; Chordata; Mammalia; Primates; Aotidae
Source: RNAcentral